This 498-nucleotide ribosomal RNA is filed under the name uncultured bacterium. Its description in RNAcentral is "partial 16S ribosomal RNA". It matches the Rfam family "Bacterial small subunit ribosomal RNA", at positions 30 to 523 of the family's 1533-position model. The record is from RNAcentral.
AUUGAACGCUGGCGGCAUGCCUUACACAUGCAAGUCGAACGGUAACAGGUCUUCGGAUGCUGACGAGUGGCGAACGGGUGAGUAAUACAUCGGAACGUGCCCGAUCGUGGGGGAUAACGAAGCGAAAGCUUUGCUAAUACCGCAUACGUUCUACGGAUGAAAGCAGGGGACCGCAAGGCCUUGCGCGAACGGAGCGGCCGAUGGCAGAUUAGGUAGUUGGUGGGAUAAAAGCUUACCAAGCCGACGAUCUGUAGCUGGUCUGAGAGGACGACCAGCCACACUGGGACUGAGACACGGCCCAGACUCCUACGGGAGGCAGCGGUGGGGAAUUUUGGACAAUGGGCGAAAGCCUGAUCCAGCCAUGCCGCGUGCAGGAUGAAGGCCUUCGGGUUGUAAACUGCUUUUGUACGGAACGAAAAGACUCUGGUUAAUACCUGGGGUCCAUGACGGUACCGUAAGAAUAAGCACCGGCUAACUACGUGCCAGCCGCCGCCGUAA